UGCCAGCCGCCGCGGUAAUACGGAGGGGGUUAGCGUUGUUCGGAAUUACUGGGCUUAAAGAGUUCGUAGGUGGUUAAAAAAGUUGGUGGUGAAAGCCCAGAGCUUAACUCUGGAACGGCCAUCAAAACUUUUUAGCUAGAGUAUGAUAGAGGAAAGCAGAAUUUCUGGUGUAGAGGUGAAAUUCGUAGAUAUUAGAAAGAAUACCAAUUGCGAAGGCAGCUUUCUGGAUCAUUACUGACACUGAGGAACGAAAGCAUGGGUAGCGAAGAGGAUUAGAUA
This 279-nucleotide ribosomal RNA is filed under the name uncultured bacterium. RNAcentral's name for it is "partial 16S ribosomal RNA". It matches the Rfam family "Bacterial small subunit ribosomal RNA", at positions 506 to 784 of the family's 1533-position model. The record is from RNAcentral.